RNAcentral lists this long non-coding RNA (627 nucleotides) under Homo sapiens (human). RNAcentral's name for it is "non-protein coding lnc-PTTG1-12:1". The record is from RNAcentral. Lineage: Eukaryota; Metazoa; Chordata; Mammalia; Primates; Hominidae.
CACUUAAGUUUUCAAACCACCAAACUAGGGCUAGAAAUUCAGAGUGGUCAGUUUAGCCUUUAGCAUCUCUUAUACCUGACAUGAUAUAUAUCUGAAAUCCCCUGACCAUGCCCCACUCCAAACAAAAUAUAGGUGCCAGGUACUGAUGAUAUGCAGCUGGAUGAGGAAGACAGAAUUCCUAGUGCCAUGGAAUGCCCAGUGUAAACACAAACAAACAAAAAAACCUAGGUAGCUGCUCUGGCCUUGGGCAGACUUGCGAAGGGUGACUUAGGUCCUUAGCGUGUCCAUAUCAUACCUUUCUCUUCCUUAAUCCCCUUCUUUCUGUCCUGCCCACGUGAAAACUUGCUCUCAGGUAUGGCUCUAACUUUAGUCAUUUUUAAUUUAGUUCAAGCUAUUCUGAGGAUGAAUCAUGUUUGCAAGCCAGACAGUGUGCCCCUGGGGGAAGGGACUGUGUCUCUAUUUCUUUGUAUGGACACGCUUCUCUCCUAGCCCUCUUCCCAGUUCCAUUUCCUGCAAUAACAUGUUGCUUGCAUUUUAAGUAGUAUAGUGCUGAAGAGCACUAGCUUUGGCACCAUGGACUUGGGGGUUUGAAUCUGCAGUUUCUUAGCUGUGUAAUCUGGGGCAAAU